AGCGGUGGCAGCCAGCAUCUACUGGUUGUGUCGCUGUGCCUACUGCACAAACGACAGUCUUUUAUGCUAUGCAUAAAAGAUAAAAGUGUGCUUAUCCUCUAAGUGGUUAUGUCUGUUAAAACAAACAAACAGAAAAGGUGGCAAACUAGGAAACUACCAGCCCGUAUUUAUGUUAUAGGAGGUGCUUAUAGCAACCUGUGUGUUUUUACAGACGCUGUGGUAAAAAGGUUUGGGAGGGAUGUGAAGGAAACUGAUUUUGUUGCCAUGUUCGUCAUCAUGAUGAGCAUAAGGGACGUAUGUGCUGAACUGAAAACAUGAAAGUGAGAGAAAUAUGCACUUGUAUUUUUUUGCUGUACCAUGAAGAAACAUGUCCUGAACUAGGAAGCUACAUGCCUGAUUGCAAAGGCAGAAGAGGAGGGAGCCCAGACAAAAUACAGAUAUUCACGGAAAGCACAAGAGGCAAGAAGGCAAAGACAGAACAAAGGAGUGAAGGGACAUGAAAGGAAAAUGUUCUGCAGCAUCCUAAGUGCCUGUGAUAUUUAAGAGUAGAGUCCUCCAGAGGCCAGUCUUCCCUUAAGAUAAAAAAAUCAUACCUUUAACACUGGUGGAAGUAGAUCUCUCAAGUACAUCUCCAGAGGUUGCUCAGGAUAGUGACAGUCUGGACAGAAGGUGAAAAACAUGAAAAAUUGAAAAUAAUACCUUCUUCAGAAUGCUUCCUAAAAGAGAUACUUUCACUUUCAUAUAUGUUUGUUGUGGUCAGGGGUUUUGGGCCAAGAAAAGGAUAAAGUUAGCUGUGGCAACUUUAGUCCCUAGACUCUAUUUCUCAGAUCUAAAGUUGAAUACUGACAAGUAUGCAGCUCCAGCUCCACACCUGAUAGUGAUUCUGGCUGCCUUCAGACAUUAAAAGGGGAGUUCCAGGCUCAUUUUCUAGAGAAAAAGUCUUAAUUCUCAAAGUGGUUUUUUGGUGUUUUGGCGGGGAGGGGGACUGGGAAGGAGCUGGUUGAUUGGUUUGUGGAUUUUUUUUUCUUAUCUUUGGAAAAGCUUUUGCACUUGGAAGAGCAGUUUUUAAAAAAUAAAAAUUAAGACUUCCAGAAGAGGCAAGUGUGGUGGCUAACCUUACUGUUCCUACAGUUUCCAUUAUCUGAGCUGUUCUUUGGAGCAGUAACUGAAAUAGAAGGCAGAGAGUGGGAGUGCUGAAUGGGAAGGUGAAGGGCCCUGGCACAUCUCUGCAGUGCAGGUGGAGCUCCCUCAAGCCUCUGACUUACAUUUUCUGAGUCAGAGAAUUAAGGGUUGAUGGUGGCAAUUAUGUACGCUGGGUACAACAGAGAUCUGAGAUAAAGAGAUAA
Long non-coding RNA from Passer domesticus (house sparrow), 1346 nucleotides. RefSeq lists it as uncharacterized. The transcript is spliced from 3 exons. The record is from RefSeq and is a predicted model, not a curated record. NCBI's taxonomy places the organism in Eukaryota, Metazoa, Chordata, Aves, Passeriformes, Passeridae.